AGUGAACGCUGGCGGUAGGCCUAACACAUGCAAGUCGAACGGCAGCACAGUAAGGGCUUGCUCUUACGGGUGGCGAGUGGCGGACGGGUGAGGAAUACAUCGGAAUCUACUUUUUCGUGGGGGAUAACGUAGGGAAACUUACGCUAAUACCGCAUACGACCUACGGGUGAAAGCAGGGGAUCUUCGGACCUUGCGCGAUUGAAUGAGCCGAUGUCGGAUUAGCUAGUUGGCGGGGUAAAGGCCCACCAAGGCGACGAUCCGUAGCUGGUCUGAGAGGAUGAUCAGCCACACUGGAACUGAGACACGGUCCAGACUCCUACGGGAGGCAGCAGUGGGGAAUAUUGGACAAUGGGCGCAAGCCUGAUCCAGCCAUACCGCGUGGGUGAAGAAGGCCUUCGGGUUGUAAGGCCCUUUUGUUGGGAAAGAAAAGCAGCAGGUUAAUACCCCGCUGUUCUGACGGUACCCAAAGAAUAAGCACCGGCUAACUUCGUG
RNAcentral lists this ribosomal RNA (492 nucleotides) under uncultured bacterium. RNAcentral describes it as "partial 16S ribosomal RNA". It matches the Rfam family "Bacterial small subunit ribosomal RNA", at positions 29 to 507 of the family's 1533-position model. The record is from RNAcentral.